Homo sapiens (human) is the source of this 3003-nucleotide long non-coding RNA. Ensembl annotates it as AFG3 like matrix AAA peptidase subunit 1, pseudogene. Its record names the gene AFG3L1P. The record is from Ensembl. Lineage: Eukaryota; Metazoa; Chordata; Mammalia; Primates; Hominidae.
AUGCGCGCGCCCGGGCGGCGCGGGAUCUGGGUCUGGGGAUGUGGUACCGGCUGCUGGCGGCGGCCGGCAGUAGAGCGGUGGCCAGGCCGCUGGCCUUGCUGUGGCGAUGUGGUGGCCCAGGAGGCGGCAGGACGGCCAAGACCAGCGCGAGGGCCCUGGGCAAGGCCCGACAGAAGAAGCUAGGAAAGCUCAUCUGGCCUCCUGUUCCAGUGCUUCCAGGGGAUCCACGUUCAGAAGCUGACUCUGCAGGCAAGACCGACGUUAUUUUCCUGGUGGCUGUGUUCAAAACCACCCAAAGGGUUUGAGAAAUACUUUAAGAGGAGUGGAAGGAACACAAACUGAGAAACAUCAACAGCACCAAAAAAAGAGACUGGUGAACUAGAGAAUGCUGAGUCUGGAGGAGACGGAGGCAGGAGAGGAGGGAAGCAGGAUAACGUUGCCUGGUGGAGGCGGAUGCAGAAGGGGGGACUUCCCCUGGGAUGACGAGGAUUUCCGCAGUCUGGCCCUUUUGGGGGCAGGCGUUGCCAUGGGAUUUUUCUACCUCUAUUUUCGAGAUCCUGGAAGAGAAAUCACGUGGAAGCACUUUGUACAGUAUUACCUGGCCAGAGGUCUGGUGGACCGGCUGGAAGUCGUGAACAAACAAUCUGUGCGUGUUAUUCCUGCCCCUGGGACCUCUUCUGAAGUGAGGGGUGAAUUUAAGGGAGCCAUGCUCACUGGUCCUCCUGGUACCGGCAAGACCCUUCUUGCCAAAGCAACUGCAGGGGAGGCCACUGUGCCCUUCAUCACUGUGAACGGGUCUGAGUUCCUGGAAAUGUUUAUUGGCGUUGGGCCAGCAAGGGGUUCAACUCUGCCACCAACGUCGUGGUGUUGGCUGGCACCAACCGCCCUGACGUCCUGGACCCGGCCCUCAUGCGGCCUGGCCGGUUUCAUCGCCAGAUUUACACUGGUCCCCCUUACAUUAAAGGCAGGUCCUCCAUCUUUAAGGUCCACCUGCGCCCACUGAAGCUGGACAAGAGCCUCAAUAAGGACACCCUGGCGAGGAAGCUGGCAGUGCUCACCCCAGGCUUCCCUGAUGUCUGUUUACAUACCAAAGUUAAAAAGCUGGAAUGUUACCAAGACUGCUUUCUUCUGCCCAUAGACGGGGAUGACUCAGCACUACCCCUCAACAGAGAUGACUUUGAUGACUCUGCCCCUCAGCAGGGCUUACUAAGCACUACCCCUUAACAGGGAUGACUCCGCACUGCCCCUCAACAGGGAUGACUCAGCAGAGAUGACUCAGCACUGUCCCUUAGCAGGGAUGACACAGCAAGGAUGACUCAGCACUGCCCCUCAGCAAGGAUGACUCAGCACUGCCGCUCAACAGACAUGACUCAGGGAUGGCUUAGUACUGCCCCUCAGCAGGGAUGACUCAGCACCGCCUCUCAACAGGGAUGACUCAGCAGGGAUGACUCAGCACCGCCCCUCAACAGGCAUGACUCUGCAGAGAUGACUCAGCACUGUCCCUUAGCAGGGAUGACACAGCAAGGAUGACUCAGCACUGCCCCUCAGCAAGGAUGACUCAGCACUGCCGCUCAACAGGGAUGACUCAGGGAUGGCUUAGUACUGCCCCUCAACAGGGAUGACUCAGCAGGGAUGACUCAGCACCGCCCCUCAACAGGCAUGACUCUGCAGAGAUGACUUAGUACUGCCCCUCAGCAGGGAUGACUCAGUACUGCCCCUCAGCAGGGAUGACUCAGCACUGCCCCUCAACAGGGAUGACUCAGCAGGGAUGACUCAGCACUGUCCCUUAGCAGUGAUGACACAGCAAGGAUGACUCAGCACUGCCCCUCAGCAAGGAUGACUCAGCACUGCCGCUCAACAGACAUGACUCAGGGAUGGCUUAGUACUGCCCCUCAGCAGGGAUGACUCAGCACCGCCCCUCAACAGGGAUGACUCAGCACUGCCCCUCAACAGGGAUGACUCAGCAGGGAUGACUCAGCAGUGUCCCUUAGCAGCGAUGACACAGCAAGGAUGACUCAGCACUGCCCCUCACCAAGGAUGACUCAGCACUGCCGCUCAACAGACAUGACUCAGGGAUGGCUUAGUACUGCCCCUCAGCAGGGAUGACUCAGCAGGGAUGACUCAGCACCACCCCUCAACAGGGAUGACUCAGCAGGGAUGACUCAGCACUGCCCCUCAACAGGGAUGACUGCAGGGAUGACUCAGCACUGCCCCUCAGCAGGGAUGACUCAGCACUGCCCCUCAGCAGGGAUGACUCAGCAGGGAUGACUCAGCACCGCCCCUCAACAGGCAUGACUCUGCAGAGAUGACUCAGCACUGCCCCUCAGCAGGGAUGGCUCAGCAGGGAUGACUCAGCAUUGCCCCUCAACAGGGAUGACUCAGCAGACUCAGCAGGGAUGACUCAGCACUGCCCCUCAACAGACAUGACUCAGCAGGGAUGACUCAGCACCGCCCCUCAGCAAGGAUGACUCAGCAGGGAUGAUUCAGCAGAGAUAACUCGGGGAUGACUCUGAUUGUCCUUCAGCAGGGAUGAGUCUGUUUUGCUCCGAUGGAAGCAUCUGUAGUGUCCAUCAGCAGGUGAAUGGCCAAAGUGGUAUAUACUGUAGUCACAUUCAGCUAUAAAAAGGAAUAAAGUAUCGAUGCAUGCCACAACAUGGGUGAACCUAGAAAAUACUGAUCUAAAUGCAAGAAGCCAGGCACAAAAGGCCACAUAGUAUAUGUUCCCAUUUAUGUGAAAUGUGCAGAAUAAUAAUAAAAAUGUAUAGAAUAGCAAAUCUGUAGGGACAGACAUGAGGUGAGUGGUUGCCAGAAGUGGAAAUGGGAGUUAACUAUAAAUUGCACAGGGUACCUUACAGAGAUGAUGGAAAUGUCCUAAAACUAGAUUAUGGCAAUAGUUGCACUACGUGAUCAGUUUAUUAAAAAUCGUUGAUGUGUGUGUGUAAAAUGGGUGGAUUUUAUGGUUUAUAAAUUAUACCUUAAUAAAGGUUAACAAAAAAUGUGGCU